GACGAACGCUGGCGGCGUGCCUAAUACAUGCAAGUCGAGCGGACCGGAUUGGGGCUUGCCUUGAUUCGGUCAGCGGCGGACGGGUGAGUAACACGUGGGCAACCUGCCCGCAAGACCGGGAUAACUCCGGGAAACCGGAGCUAAUACCGGAUAACACCGAAGACCGCAUGGUCUUCGGUUGAAAGGCGGCCUUUGGGCUGUCACUUGCGGAUGGGCCCGCGGCGCAUUAGCUAGUUGGUGAGGUAACGGCUCACCAAGGCGACGAUGCGUAGCCGGCCUGGAGGGGUGACUCGCCACACUGGGACUGGGACACGGGCCCGGCCCCCACGGGGGGCAGCAGUAGGGGAUCCUCCGGCAUGGGCGGAAGGCCGGAGGGGCGACGCCGGGGGGGCGGAGAAGGCCUUCGGGUCGUAAAGCUCUGUUGUGAGGGACGGAGGAGCGUCGUUCGAAGAGGGCGGCGCGGUGACGGUACCUCACGAGAAAGCCCCGGCUAACUACGUG
RNAcentral lists this ribosomal RNA (501 nucleotides) under uncultured bacterium. RNAcentral describes it as "partial 16S ribosomal RNA". It matches the Rfam family "Bacterial small subunit ribosomal RNA", at positions 28 to 507 of the family's 1533-position model. The record is from RNAcentral.